This 405-nucleotide unclassified non-coding RNA is filed under the name soil metagenome. RNAcentral describes it as "partial contains 5.8S ribosomal RNA, internal transcribed spacer 2, and large subunit ribosomal RNA". The stretch from base 1 to 121 matches the Rfam family "5.8S ribosomal RNA", at positions 35 to 154 of the family's 154-position model. The record is from RNAcentral.
GAUGAAGAACGUAGCGAAAUGCGAUAAGUAAUGUGAAUUGUAGAAUUCAGUGAAUCAUCGAAUCUUUGAACGCACCUUGCGCCCUUUGGCCAUUCCGAAGGGCAUGCCUGUUUGAGUAUCAUGAACACCUCAACUCUUUAUGGUUUUCCAUGAUGAGCUUGGACUCUGGGGGUUUUGCUGGCUCACAGUCGGCUCCUCUAAAAUGAAUCAGCUUACCAGUGUUUGGUGGGUAUCAUGGGUGUGAUAACUAUCUACGCUUGUGGUUUUUCCACCAGGUAACCUUCAGCAGUGGAGGUUCGCUGGAGCUCAUAGAUGUCUCUCCUCAGUGAGGACAGCCCUUUGAAUGUUUGAUCUCAAAUCAGGUAGGACUACCCGCUGAACUUAAGCAUAUCAAUAAGCGGAGGA